RNAcentral lists this long non-coding RNA (1627 nucleotides) under Marmota monax (woodchuck). The record is from RNAcentral. Lineage: Eukaryota; Metazoa; Chordata; Mammalia; Rodentia; Sciuridae.
AGAAAAUUGAAAGAUCUACCUUGCUCUUGGAUAGACAGAAUUAAUAUUAUCAAAAUGACCAUACUUCCAAAAGCACUAUACAGAUUUAAUGCAAUUCUGAUCAAAAUUCCAAUGACAUUCCUCAUAGAAAUAGAAAAAGCAACCAUGAAAUUCAUCUGGAAAACUAACAGGCCCAGAAUAGCUAAAGCAAUCCUUAGCAGGAAGAAUGAAGCAGGUGGCAUCACUAUACCAGACCUUAAACUAUACUACAGAGCAAUAGUAACAAAAACAGCAUAGUAUUGGCACUAAAACAGACUGGUAGACCAAUGGUAAAGAAUAGAGGACACAGAGACUAACCCACAAAACUACAAUUAUCUUAUACUAGACAAAAGUGCCAAGAAGAUGCAUUAGAGAAAAAAUAGCCUCUUCAACAAAUGGUGCUGGGAAAACUGGAAAUCCAUAUGCAACAAAAUGAAAUUAAACCCCUAUCUCUCACCAUGCACAAAACUCAACUCAAAAUGGAUCAAGGACUUAGGAAUACAACCAGAACCCUGCAUCUAAUGGAAAAAAAAGUAGGCCCUAAUCUCCAUCAUGUGAGAUUAGGCCUCAACUUCCUUAAUAAGACUCUUGUGGCGCAAAAAUUAAAACCAAGAAUCAAUAAAUGGGAUGGACUCAAACAAAAGUUUCUUCUCAGCAAAAGAAACAAUCUGUGAGGUGAAUAGAGAGCCUACAUCUUGGGAACAAAUCUUUACCCCUCACACAUCAGAUAGAGCACUAAUCUCUGGGGUAUAUAAAGAAUUCAAAAAAACUACCCAAAAAUAAAAUAACCCAAUCAAUAAAUGGGCAAGGACAUGAAGAUUCACUUCUCAGAAGAUGAUGUACAAUCAAUCAACAAAUACAUGAAAAAAUGUUCAUCAUCACUAGCAAUUAGAGAAAUGCAAAUCAAAACCACUCUAAGAUUUCAUCUCACUGCAGUCAGAAUGGCAGCUAUUAUGAAGACAAAUAACAAUAAGUGUGGCAAGAAUGUGGGGAAAAGGCACACUCAUAUAUUGCUAGUGGGACUGCAAAUUGGUGCAGCCAAUAUGGAAAGCACUAUGGAGAUUUCUUGGGAAAUUGGGAAUGAAACCACCAUUUGACCUAGCUAUCCCUCUCCUUUGGUCUAUACCCAAAGGCCUUGAAAACAGCAUACUACAGAGGCACAGCCACAUCAGUAUUUAUAGCAGCACAAUUCACAAUAACUAAACUGUGGAACCAACCAAGAUGCCCUUCAGUAGACGAAUGAAUAAAAAAAAUGUGGCAUAUAUCACAAUGGAAUAUUACUCAGCAAUAAGAGGAUAAAAUCAUGUCAUUUGCAGGUAAAUGGAUAGAGUUAGAGAAGAUAAUGCUAAUUGAAGUUAGCCAAUCCCCAAAAACCAAAUGUCGAAUGUUUUCUUUGAUAUAAGGAGGCUGAUUCAUAGUGGGAUAGGAAGAGGGAGUAUGGGAGGAAUAGAUGAACUCUAGAUGGGGCAGAGGGGUUGGAAGGGAAGGGAGCGGGCAUGGGGUUAUAAAUGAUGUUGGAAUGUGAUCAUUAUUAUCCAAAGUACAGGUAUGAAGACACGAAUCGGUGUGAAUAUAAUUUGUAUACAACCAGAGAUAUGAAAAAUUGUGC